CCUACGGGAGGCUGCAGUGGGGGAUAUUGCUCAAUGGGGGAAACCCUGAUGCAGCGACGCCGCGUGGGCGAAGAAGUAUUUCGGUAUGUUAAGCCCUAUCAGCAGGGAAGCAGAAAUGACGGUACCUGAGCAAGAAGCACCGGCUAAAUACGUGCCAGCAGCCGCGGUCAUACGUAUGGUGCAAGCGUUAUCCGGAUUUACUGGGGGUAACGGGAGCGCAGGCGGCACGGCAAGCCUGAUGUGAAAGCCCGCGGCCGAACCGCGGGACUGCAUUGGGAACUACCGGGCUGGAGUGCCGGGGAGGUAGGCGGAAUGCCUAGUGUAGCGGUGAAAUGCGUAGAUAUUAGGAGGAACACCAGUGGCGAAGGCGGCCUACUGGACGGUGACUGACGCUGAGGCUCGAAAGCGUGGGGAGCAAACAGGAUUAGAUACCCGUGUAGUC
This 442-nucleotide ribosomal RNA is filed under the name uncultured bacterium. RNAcentral's name for it is "partial 16S ribosomal RNA". It matches the Rfam family "Bacterial small subunit ribosomal RNA", at positions 338 to 795 of the family's 1533-position model. The record is from RNAcentral.